RNAcentral lists this transfer RNA (73 nucleotides) under Amphimedon compressa (erect rope sponge). RNAcentral's name for it is "tRNA-Ala". It matches the Rfam family "tRNA". From Rfam's summary of the family: Transfer RNA (tRNA) molecules are approximately 80 nucleotides in length. Their secondary structure includes four short double-helical elements and three loops (D, anti-codon, and T loops). Further hydrogen bonds mediate the characteristic L-shaped molecular structure. tRNAs have two regions of fundamental functional importance: the anti-codon, which is responsible for specific mRNA codon recognition, and the 3' end, to which the tRNAs corresponding amino acid is attached (by aminoacyl-tRNA synthetases). tRNAs cope with the degeneracy of the genetic code in two manners: having more than one tRNA (with a specific anti-codon) for a particular amino acid; and 'wobble' base-pairing, i.e. permitting non-standard base-pairing at the 3rd anti-codon position. The record is from RNAcentral. Lineage: Eukaryota; Metazoa; Porifera; Demospongiae; Haplosclerida; Niphatidae.
GGGGUUUUAGCUCAACAGGUAGAGUGUAGGCCUUGCACGUCUAAGGUUCUGGGUUCGACCCCCAGGGGCUCCA